RNAcentral lists this ribosomal RNA (253 nucleotides) under uncultured bacterium. Its description in RNAcentral is "partial 16S ribosomal RNA". It matches the Rfam family "Bacterial small subunit ribosomal RNA", at positions 524 to 776 of the family's 1533-position model. The record is from RNAcentral.
UACGAAUGGAGCGAGCGUUGUUCGGAAUCACUGGGCGUAAAGGGUGCGCAGGCGGUCAUGAAAGUCAGAAGUGAAAUCCCAGGGCUUAACCCUGGAAUGGCUUUUGAAACUCCAUGACUAGAGUAUUGGAGAGGUUGGCGGAAUUCCGAGUGUAGAGGUGAAAUUCGCAGAUAUUCGGAGGAACACCAAUGGCGUAGGCAGCCAACUGGACAAUUACUGACGCUCAUGCACGAAAGCGUGGGGAUCAAACAGG